AUUUGAAUACUUUGUAGGCGUUCAGUGCCAAUGAUGAUGCUGUGGUAUCUUCAGAUACUGUAGCAGCGACGCUUCUGCAAAUGCCCAGCAGGUCUUAUUCCUGUGCGAAGAAGCAUUUUUGUCAAGGUUUGCUCUGAAACUGACCUAAAGUACUAACUACAGCUGUCUACAAAUCUAGAAGACAAAUCACACCCACACCUUAGACUGUAUCCUAUUUCCUAUGGAAUUUAUCUCCAAUUUCUUUUUAAAAUGAAACUUUUUUGAAGAUUUUUGGAUUAUAACUGCGAGCACUUCUAUGCAAGAAAAGAAGAGCUAGUGUGGUUAUUUGUUGGAGCUUCUGUUCAAUGGAGGGGCUCCUACCAGUCAGCCAUGCGUAAGAACAAGUGAUGGAGGCAAGUGCUAAAUGUUUUUUUACACUUCUGAGCUAUUUUUGCCAACUGCUCAAUUUGAGCAGCUUUAC
Molecule: long non-coding RNA, 460 nt
Organism: Emys orbicularis (European pond turtle)
Lineage: Eukaryota; Metazoa; Chordata; Testudines; Emydidae
Exons: 3
Source: RefSeq, a predicted model, not a curated record